UGGGGAAUAUUGGACAAUGGGGGCAACCCUGAUCCAGCCAUGCCGCGUGUGUGAAGAAGGCCUUUUGGUUGUAAAGCACUUUAAGCAGGGAGGAGAGGCUAAUGGUUAAUACCCAUUAGAUUAGACGUUACCUGCAGAAUAAGCACCGGCUAACUCUGUGCCAGCAGCCGCGGUAAAUACAGAGGGUGCGAGCGUUAAUCGGAAUUACUGGGCGUAAAGCGAGUGUAGGUGGCUCAUUAAGUCACAUGUGAAAUCCCCGGGCUUAAACCUGGGAACUGCAUGUGAUACUGGUGGUGCUAGAAUAUGUGAGAGGGAAGUAGAAUUCCAGGUGUAGCGGUGAAAUGCGUAGAGAUCUGGAGGAAUACCGAUGGCGAAGGCAGCUUCCUGGCAUAAUAUUGACACUGAGAUUCGAAAGCGUGGGUAGCAAACAGGAUUAGAUACCCUGGUAGUCCACGCCGUAAAACGAUGUCUACUAGCCGUUGGGGUCCUUGAGACUUUAGUGGCGCAGUUAACGCGAUAAGUAGACCGCCUGGGGAG
RNAcentral lists this ribosomal RNA (537 nucleotides) under uncultured bacterium. RNAcentral describes it as "partial 16S ribosomal RNA". It matches the Rfam family "Bacterial small subunit ribosomal RNA", at positions 355 to 880 of the family's 1533-position model. The record is from RNAcentral.